RNAcentral lists this ribosomal RNA (497 nucleotides) under uncultured bacterium. RNAcentral describes it as "partial 16S ribosomal RNA". It matches the Rfam family "Bacterial small subunit ribosomal RNA", at positions 28 to 507 of the family's 1533-position model. The record is from RNAcentral.
GAUGAAUGCUGGCGGCGUGCCUAAUACAUGCAAGUCGAGCGAACAGAUAAGGAGCUUGCUCCUUUGACGUUAGCGGCGGACGGGUGAGUAACACGUGGGUAACCUACCUAUAAGACUGGGAUAACUUCGGGAAACCGGAGCUAAUACCGGAUAAUAUUUCGAACCGCAUGGUUCGAUAGUGAAAGAUGGUUUUGCUAUCACUUAUAGAUGGACCCGCGCCGUAUUAGCUAGUUGGUAAGGUAACGGCUUACCAAGGCGACGAUACGUAGCCGACCUGAGAGGGUGAUCGGCCACACUGGAACUGAGACACGGUCCAGACUCCUACGGGAGGCAGCAGUAGGGAAUCUUCCGCAAAGGGCGAAAGCCUGACGGAGCAACGCCGCGUGAGUGAUGAAGGUCUUCGGAUCGUAAAACUCUGUUAUUAGGGAAGAACAUACGUGUAAGUAACUGUGCACGUCUUGACGGUACCUAAUCAGAAAGCCACGGCUAACUACGUG